AUGGCCAGCCCCUCUCUUGGGCCUCAGUUUCCUGAUCUGUCUGGACUAGGUGACUUGUCUGUGUGGGCAGUGGAUGGAACCCUUUCUCUUGGCCUCAUGGCACUCACUUCUGGCCCAAGAGGACUGAGAGGCCUUGCCCUCCCUACUCUCCAUGACCCUCAACACACAGGCCUUGAAGAGGGAGUGAGUCCUGCUCCAAACCUGGCAGAACGCCCUCCCUUUCCUGGCCUGCAAGGGCAGCCCUGCCACUGCCCGUUUCCUUUCCACAGGCUGGGCCACCACCAAGCCAGAACUCCUAGCCCCAGUGGAGAGAGGAGACCAGCAGGCAACUGCAGCCUGCCCAGUGUGGAGAGGGGCCAGACCCUGGGCACUGCUUUUCCAGAUUUCUCCAGGAGAGAACUUUGUUUAGCCCCAGGACUGGGCCUCACUCCUAGAAGCUGCUUCUAAAGCCUUUGCUGAAAACCUGCAGGCCCCA
This 475-nucleotide long non-coding RNA is filed under the name Callithrix jacchus (white-tufted-ear marmoset). Its description in RNAcentral is "lncRNA (ENSCJAG00000085221.1)". The record is from RNAcentral. Lineage: Eukaryota; Metazoa; Chordata; Mammalia; Primates; Cebidae.